RNAcentral lists this ribosomal RNA (253 nucleotides) under uncultured bacterium. RNAcentral describes it as "partial 16S ribosomal RNA". It matches the Rfam family "Bacterial small subunit ribosomal RNA", at positions 524 to 776 of the family's 1533-position model. The record is from RNAcentral.
UACAGAGGUCUCAAGCGUUGUUCGGAAUUACUGGGCGUAAAGGGUGCGCAGGCCGCGCGGGCAGUCAAAUGUGAAAUUCUGUGGCUCAACCUCAGAAUUGCGCUUGAUACUUCCGCGCUAGAACUUUGGAGAGGAGUCUGGAAUUCUCGGUGUAGCAGUGAAAUGCGUGGAUAUCGAGAAGAACACUUAGGGCGUAGGCAAGACUCUGGACAAAUGUUGACGCUCAUGCACGAAGGCUAGGGUAGCGAACGGG